UGGGGUAUAUUGGACAAUGGGCGAAAGCCUGAUCCAGCCAUGCCGCGUGUGUGAAGAAGGUCUUCGGAUUGUAAAGCACUUUAAGGUGGGAGGAAGGGCAGUAAGCGAAUACCUUGCUGUUUUGACGUUACCGACAGAAUAAGCACCGGCUAACUCUGUGCCAGCAGCCGCGGUAAUACAGAGGGUGCAAGCGUUAAUCGGAAUUACUGGGCGUAAAGCGCGCGUAGGUGGUUCCUUAAGUUGAAUGUGAAAGCCCCGGGCUCAACCUGGGAACUGCAUCCAAAACUGGCGAGCUAGAGUAGGGCAGAGGGUGGUGGAAUUUCCUGUGUAGCGGUGAAAUGCGUAGAUAUAGGAAGGAACACCAGUGGCGAAGGCGACCACCUGGGCUCAUACUGACACUGAGGUGCGAAAGCGUGGGGAGCAAACAGG
Molecule: ribosomal RNA, 429 nt
Filed under: Pseudomonadota bacterium
Lineage: Bacteria; Pseudomonadati; Pseudomonadota
Description: Proteobacteria bacterium partial 16S ribosomal RNA
Rfam family: Bacterial small subunit ribosomal RNA
Source: RNAcentral